This is a long non-coding RNA of Mandrillus leucophaeus (drill), 781 nucleotides long. RefSeq lists it as uncharacterized. The transcript is spliced from 3 exons. The record is from RefSeq and is a predicted model, not a curated record. Lineage: Eukaryota; Metazoa; Chordata; Mammalia; Primates; Cercopithecidae.
CUACUCCAGUCAUACACGUGGAGCUAACUGCACCACUAGCUUUUCAGAGGAUACUUGCUGAAAAGGAAGUUUAAUGGAAUGGUAUUCGCUAAGUGGAAGCCAGAAGAAGAGGAAAAUGUUUUGCCACGUGGAUGUGAAGACUUCCUCUAAAAGGCAAACCUAACUACAAGCCAGACUUGGGUUUUCUCCUGUAGUUUGAAGACACACUGACUCCUGACAAAAUGCAACCUGCAACUUCUGGAGAACAACUCAGUGUCACAUUAAAGUUUAUUAUGUAUUUGAUGAUACACUGUUGAAUUGACACUUCUGCAUAGUUUGUCUAGCUGUAGAGAAUUAAGAGUCUCAACUGAGCAGUAAAGGUAAGGAGAGCUUAAUAUACACAGAGCCAGGCUUUGAUGUUUGAUGAAAUAAGAUCAUCAUGCCCACUUGAGAUUUCAGAUUAUUCUUUAGCUUAGUGGUUGUAUGAGUUACAUUCUUACUAAAGUCAAAAUUAAUGUAGUUUUCUGCCUUGAUAAAUUAAAUUCCAUAUGUGGUAUUUUAAAGGGUCAUUAGGCAAAUGCACAUAUUCUAUAAAUAAGACCCAUAGAAAAGUUGAAGAAUGCUUAAUUUAUCCAAUAAUGUAAACACAGACACAACAUUGAGAUGUGCCUAAUUCUGUAUUUACAGUUUGGUCUGGCUGUUGUAGUGCAUUUAAUGUUAAUAAAUAAAAUACUGCAUUUUAAAGCUGUUAAGAAAUUGUCUGGAACGAGCAUAUUGAAAUAAAAACUUCAAGGUUAUUAUC